CAGGAUUCCCCCAGUAGCGGCGAGCGAACAGGGAAGAGCCCAGCGCCGAAUCCCGCGGUCGCAAACGGCCGCCGGGAAAUGUGGCGUUUGGGAGGGUCCGCUUAUCCCGAGGUCGCGCGGCGAGUCCAAGUCCUUCUUGAACGGGGCCAAUUACCCAGAGAGGGUGCCAGGCCCGUAGGACCGUCGCAGGCAGCGGGAGGACCUCUCCUCAGAGUCGGGUUGCUUGAGAGUGCAGCCCUAAGUGGGUGGUAAACUCCAUCUAAGGCUAAAUACGACCACGAGACCGAUAGCGAACAAGUACCGUGAGGGAAAGUUGAAAAGAACUUUGAAGAGAGAGUUCAAGAGUACGUGAAACCGUUCAGGGGUAAACCUGAGAAACCCGAAAGGUCGAAGUAGGAGAUUCAACGCGCAAUCGUUAAAUCGAGGUAGGAUCUUCUGGCGACUGGCGUACCUGUCCGUUCAUUCGGCCGGUGCGUCGCGUACAGGGACCGCCACGGUUACGACCGCGUGCAAUUUUCCUUCAGUAGGACGUCGCGACCCGUUGGGCGCCGGACUACGGCCCGUCCGGGAGCCCGUCGGGACGGCGCGUUCGCGCGUCGCUCUCCCGGCGGACCGGUGCGGUGUCCCGUCCGGCACGCUCGACGGUAGAUAGUGGAGUGUAGGGCCGCCAAUCGUUGGCGUCCGACCCGUCGCAAGCUCGGUCGCGUUCCGACGGAAAUUCGGGCCUGGCCCCGACCUCGGGACCGGCCGGCUGCUGGCGACGGCGUUCUCGGGCAGACCCUGAACACGCGCCCGUCAGCGACGCUAUAGCUUUGGGUACUUUCAGGACCCGUCUUGAAACACGGACCAAGGAGUCUAGCAUGUGCGCGAGUCAUUGGGACACUUAACUAAACCUAAAGGCGAAAUGAAAGUGAAGGCGCGCCUCGCGCGCGCCGAGGGAGGAUGGGCGACGUCCCGCGAGGGAGCACCGUCGCCCCGCACUCCCGGGGCGUCUCGUUCUCAUCGCGAGAAGAGGCGCACCCAGAGCGUACACGCUGGGACCCGAAAGAUGGUGAACUAUGCCUGGUCAGGACGAAGUCAGGGGAAACCCUGAUGGAGGUCCGUAGCGAUUCUGACGUGCAAAUCGAUCGUCGGAACUGGGUAUAGGGGCGAAAGACUAAUCGAACCAUCUAGUAGCUGGUUCCCUCCGAAGUUUCCCUCAGGAUAGCUGGCGCUCGUACAAACUUUAACGAGUCUCAUCCGGUAAAGCGAAUGAUUAGAGGCAUUGGGGUCGAAACGGCCUCAACCUAUUCUCAAACUUUAAAUGGGUGAGAUCUCCGGCUUGCUUGAACAGUUGAAGCCGCGAGAUCGGAUCAGGGUGCCAAGUGGGCCAUUUUUG
RNAcentral lists this ribosomal RNA (1378 nucleotides) under Ampedus sp. DDM0618. RNAcentral describes it as "eukaryotic LSU rRNA". It matches the Rfam family "Eukaryotic large subunit ribosomal RNA", at positions 70 to 1139 of the family's 3401-position model. Lineage: Eukaryota; Metazoa; Arthropoda; Insecta; Coleoptera; Elateridae. The record is from RNAcentral.